RNAcentral lists this ribosomal RNA (490 nucleotides) under Veillonella dispar. RNAcentral describes it as "bacterial SSU rRNA". It matches the Rfam family "Bacterial small subunit ribosomal RNA", at positions 28 to 487 of the family's 1533-position model. The record is from RNAcentral. Lineage: Bacteria; Bacillati; Bacillota; Negativicutes; Veillonellales; Veillonellaceae.
GACGAACGCUGGCGGCGUGCUUAACACAUGCAAGUCGAACGAAGAGCGAUGGAAGCUUGCUUCUAUCAAUCUUAGUGGCGAACGGGUGAGUAACGCGUAAUCAACCUGCCCUUCAGAGGGGGACAACAGUUGGAAACGACUGCUAAUACCGCAUACGAUCCAAUCUCGGCAUCGAGACUGGAUGAAAGGUGGCCUCUAUUUAUAAGCUAUCACUGAAGGAGGGGAUUGCGUCUGAUUAGCUAGUUGGAGGGGUAACGGCCCACCAAGGCGAUGAUCAGUAGCCGGUCUGAGAGGAUGAACGGCCACAUUGGGACUGAGACACGGCCCAGACUCCUACGGGAGGCAGCAGUGGGGAAUCUUCCGCAAUGGACGAAAGUCUGACGGAGCAACGCCGCGUGAGUGAUGGCGGCCUUCGGGUUGUAAAGCUCUGUUAAUCGGGACGAAAGGCCUUCUUGCGAAUAGUUAGAAGGAUUGACGGUACCGGAAUAGA